Ziziphus jujuba (common jujube) is the source of this 2414-nucleotide long non-coding RNA. RefSeq lists it as uncharacterized. Lineage: Eukaryota; Viridiplantae; Streptophyta; Magnoliopsida; Rosales; Rhamnaceae. The record is from RefSeq and is a predicted model, not a curated record. The transcript is spliced from 2 exons.
ACAGUCUUCUUCAGUGGCGUUUGAAAAAAACCAAUGUUAAUUUUAUCUUUUUAUAUAUACAAAAAUUCUUUUCAUUAUGAUGUUUAAAAUCUAGUGCUUAACAACCUACGAGGACUCCAAUUAUCCCAUCAGCCCAUUUUACCUUUGUCUUCUAGACACGCCAUGAUCUUCUUUAUGUAAGAAAUCAAUAAGAACGACAUGUCGUUGACUCAUUGUCAAGUUGGAUUCGUAAUUGAUGAUUCUUCUAAAUCUGAGCCGUUCAGUGUUUGACCACGUGAUAGAUGGUCUAACAACCGUUCGAUUUGACGACUGAACAUGUUAUAUACAGACUGAAGAAUGUAAGCGGUCUGAAUCUCUAAUUCCGUGUAACGCCCUAAAAUUUUGAAAUUAAGUUGGUCUUCCAUCCAUCGUUCUAUAAAAUCCAGGAAUAGUUGCUUCUCAUUUAUGCUUGCUGGCGGCUGACUGGUACAAAUUAUAUAUGAAAGCAGAUGGUCAUGGACACAUUGGACAUGUUAUGCUCCUUCGUUUUGUUGGUUUUGGUAAAAUUUUGACCGAAAUGGAGAUAGGCCCAAAAGCAGUAGCAAGAGAGCAGCCCAUUGGACUAGCCACUUCUUGAUUCUUGAUCAACAGAACAAGACUGCAUUUCGCUAAGUGUCAUUUGUCCUGACAAAAGAAGACUAUAAUCUGACUAGUAAUGAAUAUGUAUUCUCUUUCAGUUUGCCUUGGUACUUCAUUCUCUUUAAUGCAGUGCCGACCCUAUAUACUUAGGAUUAAGGCCAUUUAAUCCGUGCUGUUUAACUACAUAUUCUGUUGAGCGUUGUGCAUAUUUUCAUUUUUGAAUGUUGGCAUCUUUAAAAAUGCAACUUAAAUUAGCUUUCGCGACUCAAGUUUUAGAUCCGGCCUUCCUGUUAUUCAGUAAUACAGCAACCUUGCAAGGACAUUAUUGAAAUAAUUGUCACUGAUGAAAGCUUAAAGAUUCUUGUAAUUAUUGCAACAUUAAAUAUUUCAACCAAGCUCUUACACUCCUUUCUUUUGUGAAUUGCUUGUUCGGUGUGUUUAUCUACAAUUAUUUGAUAUGUAAUAGCAUCUUGGGCUUUGCAAUACGCAGUUGAACCCAUCUCCAAGCCCCAAGUAUAUAUAUAUAUUUGUUGAAAGUUUCUUUCUUUUUGUUUGUUUGUUUGGAGAAUUGUAUGGUUGGGGGAGGAGAUAUCAUUUCCAUGAAAUGCACUGGAAUUGUCAUCAUAACAUGGUGCCUCUUGAACUUUUUUUUUCCCCCAAGUUUUCUGGUCUGUACACGUUAUUCAGCCAAGUUUCUUUGGGAAUAAAAACGAAAAAAGACCCUACUAUUUGGUGCUACGGUUCUGCAAUAUGAAGGAGUAGGUAUACAAUAAUUUGUUCCAACUCUUUUACUCUUUAACAUGUACACAAAACAUUGUAUAUACAUAUGUUCCUUUACUUUUUCUCUUUAAAAGUGUUGCUUUUUAUAGAAUGCUGGUUGCAAAUUAAUGUCCAAAGUACUAUCCUGUGACAACUUGAAGUUCCUGGUGGAAAUUGUAUUGAUUAGUUGAUUGAACAAGCCUUUGAAGUUUGAAUAAUUGUCAGAAUGCAAGGGCUGCCUGCUUUUCUUGGGAAUCGCUGUUUUAGAGCGAAAGCCAAAUGUAUGAUGUAUUAUAUGGUGGACCCAUUUCCAUUUAUCAGUUUUCAGACUGAAAUUUUUUUAUCACCAAGAAAUAUAUAUUCAAUAAUUUUCCUUCAGAUGCAACAUAAAUACGCUUGCUCAUAUCGUCAGAGAUGGUUCUGUGUAAGAGAUGAGUUCAACGUUUUAAUGAGUAUGAUAAAAUUGUGGGGCAAGUUCUAUACUCCUGUACAUUUAUUUUAUCCGUGAAGUAGUUCCUUUUAGGUGCUGUUAAAGAGUGAAUAGCCUUUGUUUGCUAUAUGGGGGACCCAUGAUCAUUUAUCGAAGUUCACAUUGAAAUUUGAUUGCCUGAAAGACUGUCAUUCUUAUGAUUUCUUCAUAUGCCACCAUAAAUGAAUGCUCGUGUUCAUUUGUGAUAUGCUUUAUGUUAAUAUAAAGAUGAAUUCAAUGUGUAUUGAUGAGCUGAAUUAUAGCUUUACUUAUUAAGAUGGUUUGAGUAUUAUUUCCACGAGGUUUGACUAGCUGAAUGUCUGCAGAUAAUGAUUUAACGCAAUUAUAGCCUCGAGUGCUCAAAGUUUGAAAAUGGUGACCAGAAAUUUGAUGGAAAAGAAAGAUUGGGAUUUUAGCUUCUCGUUCGCAGAGGUGAGAAGUUUCAUUUAGACGAUCUGAUUGAUAGCUAAACCAAAAAGUCAGUGCAUUAUGCUUUUGAGUAUCUACUUUUGAUUUUUGAUGUUGAGUUUGAUCAGUACUACUUAACAAUAAAUCUGUUGCUGAUUUU